Molecule: RNA transcript, 1887 nt
Organism: Sorghum bicolor (sorghum)
Lineage: Eukaryota; Viridiplantae; Streptophyta; Magnoliopsida; Poales; Poaceae
Exons: 8
Source: RefSeq, a predicted model, not a curated record
AUCUCUCGAAAAAGGAAAAUAAAAACGGGCAACGAACCAAACGCCGAAGCGACCCACCCCGUCCCCGUCACCUCCUCCACCCCUCCUCACCUCCAUCUCAAUCUCCAUCUCCACCAGAAACAAACAAGUGAAACAGCGCAAACCCUUGCUCCGAUUCCCCUCCUCCUCGGCCUCCUCGACGGUAGCAGCAGCAGAGCAGGGGCGGCAGCGGCGGCGGAGGAGGAGGCGGAGGCCAUGUGGCCCGGCUGCGGCGGGCGGUUCUACUGGGCGCCGGAAUCGGCGCCGUCGGCGGGGCAGGCGAGGGGCGUCGCGGUUCUGUUCGCGUGGGUGUGGAGCGACGAGGCGCAGCUGCGGCCGUUCGUCGAGCUGUACUCCUCGCUCGGGUGGCGCUGCCUCGUCUGCCAUCCCGACCUCGUCGCGCUAUAUCUCUCUGAGAAAGCAACAUCACUGGCAACUGGUGUUAUUAAUGAGCUGGUUAAGGAACUGAGAGUAAAACCUGUGCCAACUGUUCUUGCUUCCUUUUCUGGUGGCUCAAAGGGAUGCAUGUACAAGGUUAUUCAGUUACUAGAUGGAAUAUGUGAAGGAGAUGCAACCAUGAAGGACUAUCGGUUAGUGAGAAACUGUAUCUGUGGGCAAAUUUAUGACUCUAGCCCUGUAGAUUUUGUCAGUGAUGUGGGCACCCAGUUUCUCCAAAAGCCUGCUGUUGGAAAUUCAUCUCAGUCAGCUAUAUUACGUUCAUGGAUAGCAAAGGCUCUAGCUUCUGGCAUGGAUACUCUCUUCCCAAGCAGGAUUGAAGCUCAGCGUGCAGAGUACUGGCACACACUAUACUCAGCAGCAGGAUUGGGUCCUGUUCUUAUAUUUUGCUCAGAAGAUGAUAAUCUUGCUCCAUGCCAUAUUAUCUGUGGUUUUGCAAGGCGUUUGAUUGAACUAGGCACGGAGGUUAAACUUAUGAAAUGGAGUGAAUCCCAACAUGUCGGCCAUUACAAUUCACAUGAAACUGAAUACAGGACAGCUGUAGAUGAUAUGUUGAAGAAGGCUCUUGUUACCUUCUGCCACCGAAGCCAACUAUAUGACUCAAAUAUGGCUGGUGACCAGGAGUACAAGAUAGCGCACUCAGUGUGCAGUCUACACAAUGCUGCAGCCAAUUCAAAUGAGAGCUUAAGAAGGGUUGCUAACAGUCCUAGUGAUCACUUCUUCUUGCCAAGUUCAAAGGAUCAUGAUGAAUCUCGGGAACCCGGUUCUCUGAUUGAGGAUCAGAGGCGCCACAUAUCCCAUCCACCCUGCAUGGAGCCUAAAGGAGUCCUUGGACAAAUCCUGUAUGAUGUUUGUGUUCCGAAAAAUGUUGAAGGAUGGGACAUUAAGCCAACAGUGUCUCCGAAUGGACGGCCAACAUUUGCUUCUGCCCGGCAACUUGGUCCAUUCAAUCCCAUCAGGUACUUCCGACGCUCAAGACUAUAGUUUUCUGCAGGAGUUGAGAUUUUUGUAUAUAUAAUGGAGGCAAGGUGUCUAAUGGCAACUCUGAGCAAGAUUUUACCUAUGCCCUGCUGGGACGGGCAAGCUGGAUCUCAACUUUUGGACUUCCUGACUGGAGCUUCUUGUUGGAUGUUCCUUCGAAGAAAAACGAAAAAAGAGAGUAAUAACUUUCUAAAUUUCCUCCAUGUUCCAAGACAGAUCGAAUACGAACCUGUGUGUUCUGGCCAACGUUGGCAGCACCCUAUGCUCUUUCUGAACUCUAAGGCGUUUUCAGACGAAGUUUUUGUACUCUAUUAGUCACAGAGAAAACUCAUGAAACGUUCAUAUUUGUGCGGCAAUAGAUGGGGUAAAAAAACAACGUACUUCUACUCUGGUACAUUUUACUGCAUGUGUUUAACAUUUGUGCCACAGCUA